UUAAGGCCUCAACCAAAGG
Molecule: unclassified non-coding RNA, 19 nt
Filed under: Chlamydomonas reinhardtii
Lineage: Eukaryota; Viridiplantae; Chlorophyta; Chlorophyceae; Chlamydomonadales; Chlamydomonadaceae
Description: small RNA Cre_3715
Source: RNAcentral